This 160-nucleotide ribosomal RNA is filed under the name Anethum foeniculum (fennel). RNAcentral describes it as "5.8S ribosomal RNA". It matches the Rfam family "5.8S ribosomal RNA". From Rfam's summary of the family: 5.8S ribosomal RNA (5.8S rRNA) is a component of the large subunit of the eukaryotic ribosome. It is transcribed by RNA polymerase I as part of the 45S precursor that also contains 18S and 28S rRNA. Functionally, it is thought that 5.8S rRNA may be involved in ribosome translocation. Lineage: Eukaryota; Viridiplantae; Streptophyta; Magnoliopsida; Apiales; Apiaceae. The record is from RNAcentral.
ACGACUCUUGACAACGGAGAUCUCGGCUCUCGCAUCGACGAAGAAGGAAGCGAAGAACGAUACUUGGUGUGAAGAGCAGAAUCAUCCGAACCACCGAGUCUUUGAACGCAAGAUGCGCCGGAAGACAACAGGCCGAGGGCAGCUCGUCCUGGGUGUCACA